Molecule: small RNA, 776 nt
Filed under: Drosophila mojavensis
Lineage: Eukaryota; Metazoa; Arthropoda; Insecta; Diptera; Drosophilidae
Description: GI25961
Source: RNAcentral
GAUAUUAAUUAAUAAAUUAUUCGUCUGUUUCAGCAAUUUCUCCCAAGUGCAAGUGAACGUGUGUUCGACAGGCCGAAGAAGGAAUCAUCCGGUGGAACGAGAGGUAGCAGCUGAGAAGACUCCACAUCCCAAUCACCGAGCAGUGCCGCCAGUUUUGUUAAGUUGAUUGUGUAGUUUAAGCCAGUGCAUUGUAGUGUUGUUUUGCUGCAUGUGUGUAUGUGCAUACGUGCCAAAUAAAACUUUAAUUGAAUAUAAAAUUCAAUUUGAGUUUUAUUUGUUAGGAUACCCUUUGCAGAUAGGAUAUGUGAGGACGACCAGUUUCCAGCGUAUAUGCUUGCAAUCAGUUGCUGGGGAAGGACCAGCCUGCAUCGGCCGAAGAAUCUCCUGGAUUUGUGUUGUGUGUGCGCGAAGUGCUCGCUGUGGGUGGCAGUGGCGCCAGUUGUCGAAAGAUUGGCAGGCGCGACUGCGAGGCAGUAGCGUCGCCUAUAUUUUGUGUCGCCCCAGAGGUGGGGGUGUGUGGGACUGCGUCAUACGAUGGCGCGCCGUUGCGACGAGCCUCAUUUCUGCGUCGCGCUGCCAUUCUGCGAAGAUUUUCGCUGGAGUUGCGGGUUGAGGCCGGAUAUGACCUCGAGAAUCUCUCUGCUAAAAUGUUGCGGCUGUGCUCGCGAAAAGUUAUCGGGCCGUAUACGGGCGGAUGUCGGCGAAGAUAAUUAGCGUGUAGCUCCUCGUCGAACUCCGCUUGUCUUCGCUGUUGUCGCUGUGCGCGCAACUCGAUU